Molecule: ribosomal RNA, 473 nt
Filed under: uncultured bacterium
Lineage: Bacteria
Description: bacterial SSU rRNA
Rfam family: Bacterial small subunit ribosomal RNA
Source: RNAcentral
UCGGGAAUUUUGGGCAAUGGGCGAAAGCCUGACCCAGCAACGCCGCGUGUGUGAAGAAGGCCUGCGGGUUGUAAAGCACUUUAGUUGGGGGAGGAAAGGUAUGUACUGCAUAAGUGCAUGCUGUGACGUUACCCAAAGAAUAAGCACCGGCAAACUCUGUGCCAGCAGCCGCGGUAAUACAGAGGGUGCAAGCGUUAAUCGGAAUUACUGGGCGUAAAGCGCGCGUAGGUGGUUUGUUAAGUUGGAUGUGAAAGCCCCGGGCUCAACCUGGGAACUGCAUCCAAAACUGGCAAGCUAGAGUACGGUAGAGGGUGGUGGAAUUUCCUGUGUAGCGGUGAAAUGCGUAGAUAUAGGAAGGAACACCAGUGGCGAAGGCGACCACCUGGACUGAUACUGACACUGAGGUGCGAAAGCGUGGGGAGCAAACAGGAUUAGAUACCCCCGUAGUCCCUGAGCGGGCUGGCAAGGCGCAU